This is a non-coding RNA of Pteropus alecto (black flying fox), 128 nucleotides long. Lineage: Eukaryota; Metazoa; Chordata; Mammalia; Chiroptera; Pteropodidae. The record is from Rfam.
UUUAACAGUCAAAGCUAAGCAUCACUACGCAAGUAAAGAGUUUGUAGAACAAGCUGGAAGCUAAGCAGGGUUGGGCCUGGUUAGUACUUGGAUGAGAGACCACCUAGGAAAACCAGGUGCUGUAAGCG